RNAcentral lists this long non-coding RNA (352 nucleotides) under Elaeis guineensis (African oil palm). Its description in RNAcentral is "long non-coding RNA (EGUI_LNC049923)". The record is from RNAcentral. Lineage: Eukaryota; Viridiplantae; Streptophyta; Magnoliopsida; Arecales; Arecaceae.
GGGACAUCGACUGCUAACGAAAUGAGCCGCAAACUGGUGGCUCAUUUAAUCAAAGGAGAAGAUAGUACCCGACUUUAGUGCCGAGUAUCAAUUUCUUGCUGCUCCCUUCAAGGUAGAUGGAAAAGCUCGGCAUAGGAUGGCAUCUGGCAUACCAUGGAGCAGCAUCAUUGUCCGGAAGGCCUCCAGGUGGUCAACUGGAUCUGAGGUCCCAUCGUAGCUUUCAAAUUGGGGGAGCUUGAAGAUCGACGGGAUCGAUUCCUACAUAAUUCUUUGAGAAAAAGGAGGAUCAGUACAGAUAUCCUCACCGUAAGUAGGGGGAGCAUGGUGGAGCUCUUCGAUCCGUCGGUUCAUC